GAGGGUAUAGCUCAGUAGUAGAGCACAUGCUUAACAUGCACAAGGUCCUGGGUUCGAUCCCCAGUACCUCCA
RNAcentral lists this transfer RNA (72 nucleotides) under Camelus ferus (Wild Bactrian camel). It matches the Rfam family "tRNA". From Rfam's summary of the family: Transfer RNA (tRNA) molecules are approximately 80 nucleotides in length. Their secondary structure includes four short double-helical elements and three loops (D, anti-codon, and T loops). The record is from Rfam by way of RNAcentral. Lineage: Eukaryota; Metazoa; Chordata; Mammalia; Artiodactyla; Camelidae.